Molecule: ribosomal RNA, 495 nt
Filed under: uncultured bacterium
Lineage: Bacteria
Description: partial 16S ribosomal RNA
Rfam family: Bacterial small subunit ribosomal RNA
Source: RNAcentral
GACGAACGCUGGCGGCGUGCCUAAUACAUGCAAGUAGAACGCUGAAGGAGGAGCUUGCUUCUCUGGAUGAGUUGCGAACGGGUGCGUAACGCGUAGGUAACCUGCCUUGUAGCGGGGGAUAACUAUUGGAAACGAUAGCUAAUACCGCAUAAGAGUAGAUGUCGCAUGACAUUUGCUUAAAAGUUGCAAUUUCAUCACUACCAGAGGGACCUGCGUUGUAUUAGCUAGUUGGUGAGGGAACGGCUCACCAAGGCAACGAUACAUAGCCGACCUGAGAGGGAGGUCGGCCACACUGGGACUGAGACACGGCCCAGACUCCUACGGGAGGCAGCAGUAGGGAAUCUUCGGCAAUGGGCGGAAGUCUGACCGAGCAACGCCGCGUGAGUGAAGAAGGUUUUCGGAUCGUAAAGCUCUGUUGUAAGAGAAGAACGAGUGUGAGAGUGGAAAGUUCACACUGUGACGGUAUCUUACCAGAAAGGGACGGCUAACUACGUG